UGAGGAAUAUUGGUCAAUGGGCGAGAGCCUGAACCAGCCAAGUAGCGUGCAGGAUGACGGCCCUAUGGGUUGUAAACUGCUUUUAUAUGGGAAUAAAGUGAGGGACGUGUCCCUUAUUGCAUGUACCAUACGAAUAAGGACCGGCUAAUUCCGUGCCAGCAGCCGCGGUAAUACGGAAGGUCCAGGCGUUAUCCGGAUUUAUUGGGUUUAAAGGGAGCGUAGGCUGUUUGUUAAGCGUGUUGUGAAAUGUAGGAGCUCAACUUUUAGAUUGCAGCGCGAACUGGCAGACUUGAGUGCGCACAACGUAGGCGGAAUUCAUGGUGUAGCGGUGAGAUGCUUAGAUAUCAUGACGAACUCCGAUUGCGAAGGCAGCUUACGGGAGCGCAACUGACGCUAAAGCUCGAAGGUGCGGGUAUCGAACAGG
RNAcentral lists this ribosomal RNA (424 nucleotides) under Verrucomicrobiota bacterium. RNAcentral's name for it is "Verrucomicrobia bacterium partial 16S ribosomal RNA". It matches the Rfam family "Bacterial small subunit ribosomal RNA", at positions 355 to 776 of the family's 1533-position model. The record is from RNAcentral. Lineage: Bacteria; Pseudomonadati; Verrucomicrobiota.